This is a non-coding RNA of Catharus ustulatus (Swainson's thrush), 366 nucleotides long. The record is from the annotation of a RefSeq genome assembly. NCBI's taxonomy places the organism in Eukaryota, Metazoa, Chordata, Aves, Passeriformes, Turdidae.
AUGACCUCGAGCUCCCUCCUGUUCCUCGCCCUCCUGGCCCUGCUGGCCCUGCCAGUGACCCUGCUGGAGUGCGGGGGUGACCUCAAGGCCCCCGGGGGGUCCCUGACUCUGCUCUGCCGUUGGAAUGGAUUCAGUUUCGAGAGUUUUGACAUGUACUGGGUCCGGCAAAGACCUGGGGAGGCGCUGGAAUUCGUCGCAUGGAUCAGCUACCGUGGUGGCUACACCAACUACGCGCCGUCGGUGCAGGGCCGGUUCACGAUCUCCAUGGACAACGGGCAGAGCUCGGUGACGCUGACCAUGAACAACCUCAAGGACGAGGAUUCCGGCGUUUAUUUCUGUGCCAAGAGACGAGGAUUCCAGCGCUGA